Molecule: ribosomal RNA, 432 nt
Filed under: Salmonella enterica subsp. enterica serovar Infantis
Lineage: Bacteria; Pseudomonadati; Pseudomonadota; Gammaproteobacteria; Enterobacterales; Enterobacteriaceae
Also listed under: 1 other name
Description: partial 23S ribosomal RNA
Rfam family: Bacterial large subunit ribosomal RNA
Source: RNAcentral
GAUAUGAACCGUUAUAACCGGCGAUUUCCGAAUGGGGAAACCCAGUGUGACUCGUCACACUAUCAUUAACUGAAUCCAUAGGUUAAUGAGGCGAACCGGGGGAACUGAAACAUCUAAGUACCCCGAGGAAAAGAAAUCAACCGAGAUUCCCCCAGUAGCGGCGAGCGAACGGGGAGGAGCCCAGAGCCUGAAUCAGCAUGUGUGUUAGUGGAAGCGUCUGGAAAGGCGCGCGAUACAGGGUGACAGCCCCGUACACAAAAGCGCAUGUGCUGUGAGCUCGAUGAGUAGGGCGGGACACGUGGUAUCCUGUCUGAAUAUGGGGGGACCAUCCUCCAAGGCUAAAUACUCCUGACUGACCGAUAGUGAACCAGUACCGUGAGGGAAAGGCGAAAAGAACCCCGGCGAGGGGAGUGAAAAAGAACCUGAAACCGU